Long non-coding RNA from Tupaia belangeri chinensis (Chinese tree shrew), 1095 nucleotides. RefSeq lists it as uncharacterized. The record is from RefSeq and is a predicted model, not a curated record. Lineage: Eukaryota; Metazoa; Chordata; Mammalia; Scandentia; Tupaiidae. The transcript is spliced from 3 exons.
CCCGCGGUUCUUUCCACUCCUGCAGAGGUGGCUGGGCCCAGGCCCCACCGGAGGCCCUAGGGUGUGGCGACGCCCAGGGCCUUGGGCAAGGCCGAAGAGCGUGGUCCUUUGCACCAUUAGGGUUGAGUAAGUGCCCAGUCUCCAUCCGACCCGGUUCCUGAAGUUCUUUACACCUUCGGAAAGGGCCUGUCCGCGUUUCUCGGAAACGCGUGGGAUAACCAGUAUGUGCUCAGCUCUUCAUCUGCUCUCCGCACGCUGCCUGCUAUUUAAGAAAAACACACUAAAAGACCAAAAAGAAAGGUUUGAAAUUGGACUCUGGCCUUAGCACAAAUAAGUGCUUGAAGCCUCUCUGCACAAAGAUUAUAUAAAUUGGUAGCAUAUAUGGAUUAUUAUGUUUUUGAGAAUUCUACUAAACCUGAUACAGCAGUAUAAAGUCAUCACCAAAGGACUGAUGACUGUUGAUCAGAGUAGCUGUGCACUGGAGCAAGGGAAAUAUCAGACCUCUGGGACAUUCCUGAAGGACAGUGGUGAAGGGAAACUCUCACUGGGCAUUGCACCUGAUUGCUCAUGUCGCUUGGAAGAAAAAAUGGCAAGAUGUGAUUAUAUACCAGCCCGUGGGCUGUAGCCAAUGGUUUGGUUGGAUCGUCAAGAACGUGGAAAGAUGAUUGGAAUACUGGUGACAAGGAAAGUUGCUAUUGAAGUUUUAUACAUAGACUUCUCUCAGGCAAAACAACAUGAAGAUUUUUGUCUGGUGUAAAUGUCAUGUAAGUGGGGUGGCUUGAGGUAGACUGGACUCUCAGGUCUUCCCAUGUAUAAUUUAAAGCUAUUUUUCUUGAUGGACUUGGUCUAGUAAUUAAAUCAGUGGAGAUUUCUGAAGUGGGCAAAGUAUAAUAGAUCCCUUUAAUAGCCUUCAACUCUGUUUAGUUGAUAGCUGACGCCUCAGUGAAUGAAAUAGUUUAGUAAUAUGUCAUAAAGCAUGACAACUCUACAGACUGUGGGUGGUUACAGAGGUAAUAAUCUAUGUUAAAAUGUUAUAAGGGACCAGCAAUUGGCAUAAUGGGUAUGUCGCUGGACUCCCAUGUGGUCGACAGCAGU